UGAAAUUGAUUGGAUUUGAAAACCCCAGCCCAUCAGAGAGUAAACAAAGGUCUCGGUCUUACUUGGAAGUGAGCGGUUUUGAGAGUAAACUAAUAUUGCGAACGUAAUUAGACUAUCAGCUGAUAUGAUGGUUGCAUAUGGUUGAUAUGAGGUGCCACGGUUGGUUUGACGACUUAAUGGAAGUAUAGUUUAAAUUACAGUGUUGUGGAGAGAGGGUUUGACCUAGUUGUGCGGGUUUAAGUGUAAGGUGCACCCAAAAGCAGUAUUUCUUAUAUCGAUAUGAGCACUGUGCAGUGAGUAUUGAGUUAACUUUGUAUUUUGAUCGAAUAUCCGGGAUUUUAAGGCAAAGGCAGGGCAGCAAGAAAAGUGUAUCAUCCUCUGGUGAUGGUUCAGUUACUUAAGCUCAACUUAAUUAGAAAAGUUUUUUUUUUUGAGUCUCUUGGUCCGAGUUCAACUUACCAGAGCGGUGACUGGCAGCGCCACCACGAGCAAAAUUGUCUUGCAAUUGCAGGGUUGCCAUGCUUCAUUUCAGUGUUUAUAUUUUUUCAUAAGAAAAUAAGUAAGUUAAGAUUUUGUUAAAAACUUUUUUGAAGUCUA
Eupeodes corollae is the source of this 597-nucleotide long non-coding RNA. RefSeq lists it as uncharacterized. NCBI's taxonomy places the organism in Eukaryota, Metazoa, Arthropoda, Insecta, Diptera, Syrphidae. The transcript has 3 exons. The record is from RefSeq and is a predicted model, not a curated record.